Molecule: ribosomal RNA, 432 nt
Filed under: uncultured bacterium
Lineage: Bacteria
Description: partial 16S ribosomal RNA
Rfam family: Bacterial small subunit ribosomal RNA
Source: RNAcentral
ACGAACGCUGGCGGCAUGCCUAACACAUGCAAGUCGAACGAGACCUUCGGGUCUAGUGGCGCACGGGUGCGUAACGCGUGGGAACCUGCCCUUAGGUUCGGAAUAACUCCCCGAAAGGGGUGCUAAUACCGGAUAAUGUCUUCGGACCAAAGAUUUAUCGCCUUUGGAUGGGCCCGCGUUGGAUUAGCUAGUUGGUAGGGUAAAAGCCUACCAAGGCGACGAUCCAUAGCUGGUCUGAGAGGAUGAUCAGCCACACUGGGACUGAGACACGGCCCAGACUCCUACGGGAGGCAGCAGUGGGGAAUAGUGAACAAUGGGCGAAAGCCUGAACCAGCAAUGCCGCGUGAGUGAUGAAGGCAUUAGGGUUGUAAAGCUCUUUUAACCGGGAUGAUAAUGACAGUACCGGGAGAAUAAGCUCCGGCUAACUCCGUG